AGGGGCAGAAGCAGAGGGGCAGGGGGGGGGGCAGAUCUGUCGUCUGAGUUGUCUGGUGAUCCUGUGCUGUUCUCUCUGCAGACAGUCCUGUCUUGUGUAUAUAUAACAGCCAUGUGCCAAAGUGAGGUCAUAUUACAUGUGAGGUCAUAUUACAUGUGUAACAGUGAGGUCAUAUUACAUGUGUAACAGCCUGAGGUCAUAUUACAUGUGAGGUCAUAUUACAUGUGUCACAGUCUGAGGUCAUAUUACAUGUGAGGUCAUAUUACAUGUGUGUGUCACAGCCUGAGGGCUUUAUUACUGUAAGCCAACACAGCACAAGGACAAGCAUGUGCACAAUACCAAAGGAACUAUUUUAUAUUCAAUGUUCUGUUCCUAAAUUAUUUGUCAAUUUUGUGUUUUUGUAUGUUUCAAGCGGUU
Molecule: long non-coding RNA, 417 nt
Organism: Clupea harengus (Atlantic herring)
Lineage: Eukaryota; Metazoa; Chordata; Actinopteri; Clupeiformes; Clupeidae
Source: Ensembl